RNAcentral lists this unclassified non-coding RNA (360 nucleotides) under soil metagenome. RNAcentral describes it as "partial contains 5.8S ribosomal RNA, internal transcribed spacer 2, and large subunit ribosomal RNA". The stretch from base 1 to 120 matches the Rfam family "5.8S ribosomal RNA", at positions 35 to 154 of the family's 154-position model. The record is from RNAcentral.
GAUGAAGAACGUAGCGAAAUGCGAUAAGUAAUGCGAAUUGCAGAAUUCAGUGAAUCAUCGAAUCUUUGAACGCACAUUGCGCCCGCCAGUAUUCUGGCGGGCAUGCCUGUCUGAGCGUCGUUUCGACCCUCGCGCCCGGCUUCUGUCGGGGGCGGUGUUGGGGAUCGGCCACACCCUUCAGUGGGAGGCCGGCCCCUAAAUUCAGUGGCGACCACGCUGUAGCCUCCCCUGCGUAGUACUAACACCACCUCGCAGGCGGAGAGCGGUGCGGCCCGCCGUAAAACCCCCCAACUUUUACAAGGUCGACCUCAGAUCAGGUAGGAAUACCCGCUGAACUUAAGCAUAUCAAUAAGCGGAGGA